This 465-nucleotide ribosomal RNA is filed under the name uncultured bacterium. RNAcentral's name for it is "partial 16S ribosomal RNA". It matches the Rfam family "Bacterial small subunit ribosomal RNA", at positions 338 to 795 of the family's 1533-position model. The record is from RNAcentral.
CCUACGGGAGGCAGCAGUGGGGAAUCUUGCGCAAUGGGCGAAAGCCUGACGCAGCGACGCCGCGUGAGGGAUGAAGGUCUUCGGAUCGUAAACCUCUGUCAGCAGGGAAGACCGGUCACUGGGCUAAUCAGCAGUGAAUUGACGGUACCUGAAAAGAAAGCACCGGCUAACUCCGUGCCAGCAGACGCGGUAAUACGAAGGGGGCAAGCGUUAAUCGGAAUUACUGGGCGUAAAGCGAUCGUAGGCGGGAUGUCAAGUCAAAGGUGAAAGCCCCGGGCUCAACGGGGGACCGUCCUUUGAAACUGGCAAACUGGAGUGUGUGAGAGGAUAGUGGAAUUCCAGGUGUAGGAGUGAAAUCCGUAGAUAUCUGGAGGAACAUCAGUGGCGAAGGCGACUAUCUGGCACAUAACUGACGCUGAGGAGCGAAAGCGUGGGUAGCAAACAGGAUUAGAUACCCUUGUAGUC